This 397-nucleotide ribosomal RNA is filed under the name uncultured bacterium. RNAcentral's name for it is "partial 16S ribosomal RNA". It matches the Rfam family "Bacterial small subunit ribosomal RNA", at positions 523 to 918 of the family's 1533-position model. The record is from RNAcentral.
AUACGUAGGGGGCGAGCGUUGUCCGGAAUGAUUGGGCGUAAAGGGCGCGUAGGCGGCCUGUUAAGUCUGGAGUGAAAGUCCUGUUUUCAAGAUGGGAAUUGCUUUGGAUACUGAUGGGCUUGAGUGCAGGAGAGGUUAUCGGAAUUCCCGGUGUAGCGGUGAAAUGCGUAGAGAUCGGGAGGAACACCAGUGGCGAAGGCGGGUAACUGGACUGCAACUGACGCUGAGGCGCGAAAGUGUGGGGAGCAAACAGGAUUAGAUACCCUGGUAGUCCACACUGUAAACGAUGAAUGCUAGGUGUAAGAGGUAUCGACCCCUUUUGUGCCGGAGUUAACACAAUAAGCAUUCCGCCUGGGGAGUACGGCCGCAAGGUUGAAACUCAAAGGAAUUGACAGGG